CGCUAGCGGCAGGCUUAACACAUGCAAGUCGAGGGGCAGCGGGAUGUAGCAAUACAUUGCCGGCGACCGGCGGAUGGGUGCGUAACGCGUAUGCAACCUACCUUAUACAGGGGAAUAACCUUUCGAAAGGGAGACUAACACCCCAUAGUAUUGAUUUAAGGCAUCUUAGAUUAAUUAAAUAUUUAUAGGUAUAAGAUGGGCAUGCGUAUGAUUAGCUAGUUGGUAAGGUAACGGCUUACCAAGGCGACGAUCAUUAGGGGUUCUGAGAGGAAGGUCCCCCACACUGGUACUGAGACACGGACCAGACUCCUACGGGAGGCAGCAGUGAGGAAUAUUGGUCAAUGGGCGCAAGCCUGAACCAGCCAUGCCGCGUGCAGGAAAAGACGGCCUUAUGGGUUGUAAACUGCUUUUACAUAAGACUAACCGUAUAUUUGCGAAUAUACCUGAAUGUAUUAUGAGAAUAAGGAUCGGCUAACUCCGUGCCAGCAGCCGC
Molecule: ribosomal RNA, 493 nt
Filed under: uncultured bacterium
Lineage: Bacteria
Description: bacterial SSU rRNA
Rfam family: Bacterial small subunit ribosomal RNA
Source: RNAcentral